AUACAUGUACUUGUUAUUAUCCCCACGGUAACACAACAACUGUGACUUCACAUUUCAUCAUCCACUGAAUUUAGCUUUAAGCAGCUGAAUGGCUAGGAGACAGAACAAAGGGGGGCCUCACCACGGUUGAGUGUCGGGGUGCUGUUGAUGUCUCCUGCCAUGAAGGAAGACUCUGUCUGCUUUCGAACCGUGUCGUUCCACAUCCUACGGAUCCGACUCUGGAAGGGGGAAGCGAAGCGAAGUUUGAGGGCCUGAAGCUGAGCGUCCAGGAUAUCCAGCAGUUGCUCUAUCAGUCGCACGGAAGAGCUUACGUCUCCAGCCUGGAUGCGACCUCGCGUGUGGUUCACCAGCUCACCCGCAAUGUUGGCAGCAUUCUCGCCGCUCUUAAUCUAUACGUAGACACGGAUGAAUGCACACAAUCAUUUGCAUUAAAUCAUUUUACUUUAAA
Molecule: long non-coding RNA, 448 nt
Organism: Oryzias melastigma (Indian medaka)
Lineage: Eukaryota; Metazoa; Chordata; Actinopteri; Beloniformes; Adrianichthyidae
Exons: 3
Source: RefSeq, a predicted model, not a curated record